CCGGCCCAGGGUUCGCAGGUUCGGAUCCUGGGAGCAGACCUAGCACUGCUCAUCAAGCUACACAGUGGAAAAAGAAUGCUGCCUUACUGCUACACCGUAAUUCAUAACAUAGAGAGAGAAAAAAAAUUUAUCCUCAUUUUCAUAAGCAUUCACUCAACAAAUAUUUACAUGCCUGUUGCUGUGCUCGGCUGAAAGUAUAGAUGAAGAACAGUGUGCCCCAAGGAGCUUAAGGUUUGUGGAGAAAUAAGCAUUCAGAGCAACAAUGGAGUUACAGUUCAAUGUGACAAGAGCCAUGGUGGAGAGGCACAGGUGCACAGAGAAAUCCAGAAAAAGAAGUUCCCUGGCACCCAGAAGGAGACCUAGAAGCCUACCUAGGAGAAGUCACGUUUCACUCUCAGAAAAGCACUGAGCUGACUUACCGAUCAAUGGGACUUGCUAAGAGCAAGGAAGUCCCUGACUGAGGAACAUCCACCUACCCUACCAAGAUGUUGGACACACUGUUCCAAAAGUUGAAGGAUGUUCUCUCACGGGAGAGAGAAUAUCUAAACAAUCCACUGGGCUGGCAGGCACUGCAUGAAGAAAUUCUCUUCUUGUAAGGUGGCAGAAAACUGUAUCGGGUGGUGAGAGUGGCAAACUGCUGCAGGCAGCGGGGAACGCCCCUCAUUUCUACUCCAUCCCACCAUUGCUGCUUCCUACCUGGCCGAAGGGGAGAUGUUGCUAGAUUCUAAAGUUGGUUCAGAAAAGUCCAGAAGAUAAAUAAAAAAGAAACUUCAAAUUCCAUUGUUUUAUUUUCUACUUUGAUACUAAAGUACUUAUAGGAAAAAAAAUCUAGGGAAAGGAUUUUUUUCAUGGAAACUUGAAAUUUAAUAUUUUAUGGGCUGGGUUCAGAAUGCUGCCUACUGUCAAGAUAACAUCCUGUUAUCACACUUGUGAAAGCACCCGAGGCAUGAAUUAUUGCCGACUAAUUCACAGCCUGUCACAUCUUACUACUUAAUUGUCAUAUACCGAUGUAAACAGAGACCAUUUUUUGUCACUAAUAAAUGUGUUUUUAUU
Non-coding RNA from Equus caballus (horse), 1053 nucleotides. The record is from RefSeq and is a predicted model, not a curated record. NCBI's taxonomy places the organism in Eukaryota, Metazoa, Chordata, Mammalia, Perissodactyla, Equidae.